AUUGAACGCUGGCGGCAGGCCUAACACAUGCAAGUCGAACGGUAGCACAAAGAGCUUGCUCUUGGGUGACGAGUGGCGGACGGGUGAGUAAUGUCUGGGAAACUGCCCGAUGGAGGGGGAUAACUACUGGAAACGGUAGCUAAUACCGCAUAACGUCGCAAGACCAAAGUGGGGGACCUUCGGGCCUCACACCAUCGGAUGUGCCCAGAUGGGAUUAGCUAGUAGGUGGGGUAAUGGCUCACCUAGGCGACGAUCCCUAGCUGGUCUGAAAGGAUGACCAGCCACACUGAAACUGAGACACGGUCCAGACUCCUACGGGAGGCAGCAGUGGGGAAUAUUGCACAAUGGGCGAAAGCCUGAUGCAGCCAUGCCGCGUGUAUGAAGAAGGCCUUCGGGUUGUAAAGUACUUUCAGCGAGGAGGAAGGCAUUAAGGUUAAUAACCUUGGUGAUUGACGUUACUCGCAGAAGAAGCACCGGCUAACUCCGUGCCAGCCGCCGCUGUAA
This 504-nucleotide ribosomal RNA is filed under the name uncultured bacterium. RNAcentral's name for it is "partial 16S ribosomal RNA". It matches the Rfam family "Bacterial small subunit ribosomal RNA", at positions 30 to 523 of the family's 1533-position model. The record is from RNAcentral.